This is a long non-coding RNA of Setaria italica (foxtail millet), 1166 nucleotides long. RefSeq lists it as uncharacterized. The transcript is spliced from 2 exons. NCBI's taxonomy places the organism in Eukaryota, Viridiplantae, Streptophyta, Magnoliopsida, Poales, Poaceae. The record is from RefSeq and is a predicted model, not a curated record.
AAUGCGGAACGUGUGGGUCCUCGCACCAUGAGCGUUGACGACAGCAGCGCCGGCAGACUCUUCGUCGAUUCAUACCUAAGGGCACGUACAACGGCGAGCCGGCUGCCGUCUGCGUGUGUCCACGUCAGCAUUUUAGUCCUCUGUGGCGCGCAUUAACUGAAGAAAGAGAGGGGCGCCGUCGUCUCGUUCGUCUACGGCACCGGCUCGUGCUCCCACGGCUGGCGACGACGCGCGCGACUCGUUGUGCGACGCGCUGCCGGUCGUCGAUGGUGGCGAGGAUCCGCUGCGCGCGGGGCUGCAUGCGCGCUUUUCCCCUUUGGCGCCAAGGCUCGCGACUGCGACACUUCCCUGUCUCCUCCCGCUCGCUCCUCCUCAGAUCUCGCCGCCGGCGGACAUGCUCCCCUCCUCCCGCGCCGCCCGUGGCCUCCCAAGGGGGCGCUUGAUUCCCUUGCUGCUGCUCGCCUUGCUUCGAGUCGCUGGUCGAUUCGUCAGACGACGGGCCUCGAUUUGGACGCAGCAGUUCGAUCCAGCGACGGGAGAGCUCGAUUUGGCUACGGCGGAGGUUGGUUCAGCGGGCAGCGGAGGUCGAUUCACAUUGCUUCCGGGGGACCUCGAUUCAGUUACGACGGGAGUCGAUUCGGCGGCGGAGCACCUCGAUUUGGCAACGGCGGAGGCCGCUGCGGCUGUGCGAGGUCGAUUCGACGCCGCCUCCUGUGCUUUUUUCCCCUAGCUGCUGUGAUGAGAGUUCCAGCAGGCUGACAGGAGCGCUCAAGCUUACAUUCUAUCACAAAUAGCAAGGUGUUAUGGCCACAGGUACACCUUUACAGGUUUGUCUAGUGUUCAUAUUCAAAUGCCUGGUUGAUGGAGUAGUACUCAUUUGGAGCAUCAGGGAGGGGGCCAGAAGCUUUGCCUUUGGAGUUUGAGUACUGCAGGAUGGCCACACCGGUGACCUGGCUCCAUUGAGGAUUGCUUAUGAACCUUGGGCUCGCUACAAUGUAGAUUCCUUUAGUCUCUACCAGAAGCAUUUUGUGAUUCUGGAUCCUGAUUGGUAGUGAUUGUAAGUGCUGCUGUUUCUUGAUUGAUCAUAUUAUGUAUUGCAAAGGUCAAUUAUGGGCAAAAUCAAAAUUAGACCUGCAUUGCAAUGGUAUUACGACUUUACUAUAUCA